RNAcentral lists this ribosomal RNA (433 nucleotides) under Eutichurus ravidus. RNAcentral describes it as "partial 16S ribosomal RNA". The record is from RNAcentral. Lineage: Eukaryota; Metazoa; Arthropoda; Arachnida; Araneae; Cheiracanthiidae.
UUUUAUUAGUCCUUAUUAAUAAUAUAAUCUGCUCAAUGAAUCUUAAAUAGCCGCAGAAUCUGUGCUAAGGUAGCAUAAUCAUUUGUCUUUUAAUUUAAGACUAGAACAAAAGAUUAAACAUUUUAAUUUUUUUAUUUAAAAUUUUAUUUAAAUUUAUCCUAAAUGUAAAAAGACAUUUAUUUAAAAGAUAGACAAUAAGACCCUAUUGAACUUUACUAUUGUUUUACUGGGGAAGUAAUUAAAUUAUUAACUUUUAUUAUUAUAUUAUAAUAAAUAUCUAAUAUUAUUAAUAAUUCAGUUACCAUAGGGAUAACAGCAUAAUAAAAUUUUAAAGCUCUUAUAAAAAAUUAAGUUUAUGACCUCGAUGUUGAAUAAUACCCUUUUUAAAGUAAAAUUUAAAUUAGGAAGUCUGUUCGACUUUUAAACAAUUACA